Small nucleolar RNA from Nothobranchius furzeri (turquoise killifish), 112 nucleotides. NCBI's taxonomy places the organism in Eukaryota, Metazoa, Chordata, Actinopteri, Cyprinodontiformes, Nothobranchiidae. The record is from Ensembl.
UGUGAGAGUGAUGAGUUGCACGCAUCUGCUGGGGUCUGCUGCAGUGGCAUCAGCACUCCAGGCUGAAGUAAUCUGAAGAGAUAAACGUUGCACAGGGGCCAUCUGACUCAAA